AUGUAGGGAAGGGAUAAACGCUGAAAGCAUCUAAGUGUGAAGCCCACCUCAAGAUGAGAUUUCCCAUUUCUUUAAGAAAGUAAGACCCCUGAAAGAUGAUCAGGUAGAUAGGUUGGAAGUGGAAGUGCAGUGAUGCAUGGAGCGGACCAAUACUAAUCGGUCGAGGACUUAACCAAAAA
This 179-nucleotide ribosomal RNA is filed under the name Erwinia sp. CPCC 100877. RNAcentral describes it as "partial 23S ribosomal RNA". It matches the Rfam family "Bacterial large subunit ribosomal RNA", at positions 2751 to 2925 of the family's 2925-position model. The record is from RNAcentral. Lineage: Bacteria; Pseudomonadati; Pseudomonadota; Gammaproteobacteria; Enterobacterales; Erwiniaceae.